AAAGAAUUAGGUUAAAAAAACCUUUAAUAUGUCAUUUUAAAUUUAUUAAUUUUAUUAAUAUUCUUUA
RNAcentral lists this transfer RNA (67 nucleotides) under Diodontus minutus. RNAcentral's name for it is "tRNA-Asp". Lineage: Eukaryota; Metazoa; Arthropoda; Insecta; Hymenoptera; Crabronidae. The record is from RNAcentral.